This 76-nucleotide transfer RNA is filed under the name Polaromonas sp. Its description in RNAcentral is "tRNA-Arg". It matches the Rfam family "tRNA". Rfam says of the family: Transfer RNA (tRNA) molecules are approximately 80 nucleotides in length. Their secondary structure includes four short double-helical elements and three loops (D, anti-codon, and T loops). Further hydrogen bonds mediate the characteristic L-shaped molecular structure. tRNAs have two regions of fundamental functional importance: the anti-codon, which is responsible for specific mRNA codon recognition, and the 3' end, to which the tRNAs corresponding amino acid is attached (by aminoacyl-tRNA synthetases). tRNAs cope with the degeneracy of the genetic code in two manners: having more than one tRNA (with a specific anti-codon) for a particular amino acid; and 'wobble' base-pairing, i.e. permitting non-standard base-pairing at the 3rd anti-codon position. The record is from RNAcentral. Lineage: Bacteria; Pseudomonadati; Pseudomonadota; Betaproteobacteria; Burkholderiales; Comamonadaceae.
GGGCCCCUAGUUCAACGGAUAGAUCACCCUCCUUCUAAGAGGCCAAGUCCCGGUUCGAGUCCGGGGGGGCCCACCA